This 248-nucleotide ribosomal RNA is filed under the name uncultured bacterium. RNAcentral's name for it is "partial 16S ribosomal RNA". It matches the Rfam family "Bacterial small subunit ribosomal RNA", at positions 524 to 776 of the family's 1533-position model. The record is from RNAcentral.
UACGUAGGGUGCAAGCGUUAAUCGGAAUUACUGGGCGUAAAGCGUGCGCAGGCGGUUUUGUAAGUCUGUCGUGAAAUCCCCGGGCUUAACCUGGGAACUGCAUUGGUGACUGCAUCGCUCGAGUAUGGCAGAGGGGGUAGAAUUCCACGUGUAGCAGUGAAAUGCGUAGAGAUGUGGAGGAAUACCGAUGCGAAGGCAGCCCCUGGGCCAGCACUGACGCUCAUGCACGAAGCGUGGGAGCAAACAGG